This 456-nucleotide long non-coding RNA is filed under the name Rhinolophus ferrumequinum (greater horseshoe bat). Its description in RNAcentral is "lncRNA (ENSRFEG00010018964.1)". Lineage: Eukaryota; Metazoa; Chordata; Mammalia; Chiroptera; Rhinolophidae. The record is from RNAcentral.
CGCGGAGCCGGGAGCGCGCCGCCUGCUGCCGAGCGCUCGCCGCUCUCUCGCGCCCCUGCUCGCUGCGCUGCCCGCACCCCCGUGGAGCGCCCGGCAGCCGCCGGAGCGCGGGAGGCACACCCCGCCGGGCUCGGGCCGAGGCGGCGCGACCGCAGGUCCGACAGCCGAGGGCGCCGCGGAGGCCGGAGCGGAGGCGAAGUCCAGCCCUGAGUGAGCCCAGCUUCUGCGGAUCAGCCCGCCCAUGCUGCAGAGAAACUGGCUGUUACUCCCACUUCUGGAUGUCACAUUUCCUGUUUGUGUGCCUGGACUGAGUGAGGGAGACCUGGUGGUGAAGGGCAACGGGAGGACAGAGGCCUUCUUACAGGUUUACACACUGCUGAGCUGUGGUUAACCAGCCUGGAGCCUCUAAUUCCACUGGCCUGUAGAGUGUCCGCUGGAGGCAGCUAGGGGGGAUGA